This 301-nucleotide ribosomal RNA is filed under the name uncultured bacterium. RNAcentral's name for it is "partial 16S ribosomal RNA". It matches the Rfam family "Bacterial small subunit ribosomal RNA", at positions 509 to 809 of the family's 1533-position model. The record is from RNAcentral.
CAGUAGCCACGGGAAUACGAAGGGGGCUAGCGUUGUUCGGAUUUACUGGGCGUAAAGCGCACGUAGGCGGACUUUUAAGUCAGGGGUGAAAUCCCGGGGCUCAACCCCGGAACUGCCUUUGAUACUGGAAGUCUUGAGUAUGGUAGAGGUGAGUGGAAUUCCGAGUGUAGAGGUGAAAUUCGUAGAUAUUCGGAGGAACACCAGUGGCGAAGGCGGCUCACUGGACCAUUACUGACGCUGAGGUGCGAAAGCGUGGGGAGCAAACAGGAUUAGAUACCCGCGUAGUCCCUGUCUCUUAUAA